ACGAACGCUGGCGGCGUGCCUAAUACAUGCAAGUAGAACGCACAGUUUAUACCGUAGCUUGCUACACCAUAGACUGUGAGUUGCGAACGGGUGAGUAACGCGUAGGUAACCUGCCUGGUAGCGGGGGAUAACUAUUGGAAACGAUAGCUAAUACCGCAUAAUAUUGAUUAUUGCAUGAUAAUUGAUUGAAAGAUGCUAUUGCAUCACUACCAGAUGGACCUGCGUUGUAUUAGCUAGUAGGUGAGGUAACGGCUCACCUAGGCGACGAUACAUAGCCGACCUGAGAGGGUGAUCGGCCACACUGGGACUGAGACACGGCCCAGACUCCUACGGGAGGCAGCAGUAGGGAAUCUUCGGCAAUGGACGAAAGUCUGACCGAGCAACGCCGCGUGAGUGAAGAAGGUUUUCGGAUCGUAAAGCUCUGUUGUAAGAGAAGAACGGGUGUGAGAGUGGAAAGUUCACACUGUGACGGUAUCUUACCAGAAAGGGACGGCUAACUACGUG
RNAcentral lists this ribosomal RNA (504 nucleotides) under uncultured bacterium. RNAcentral describes it as "partial 16S ribosomal RNA". It matches the Rfam family "Bacterial small subunit ribosomal RNA", at positions 29 to 507 of the family's 1533-position model. The record is from RNAcentral.